GAUGAACGCUGGCGGCGUGCCUAAUACAUGCAAGUCGAGCGAACAGACGAGGAGCUUGCUCCUCUGACGUUAGCGGCGGACGGGUGAGUAACACGUGGAUAACCUACCUAUAAGACUGGGAUAACUUCGGGAAACCGGAGCUAAUACCGGAUAAUAUAUUGAACCGCAUGGUUCAAUAGUGAAAGACGGUUUUGCUGUCACUUAUAGAUGGAUCCGCGCCGCAUUAGCUAGUUGGUAAGGUAACGGCUUACCAAGGCAACGAUGCGUAGCCGACCUGAGAGGGUGGGAGGGAACAUGGGAACGGAGAUGCGGCCCAGAGUCAGACGGGAGGCAGCAGUGGGGAAUAGGGCACAAUGGACGGAAGACUGAUGCAGCGACGCAAGGUGGGAGAUGACGGACUGCGGGUAGUAAACUCAUUUCGACCGCGAGGAAGCCACCGGGUUGGAAGGGGGGUGAGGGUAGUGGUAGAAGAAGCACCGGAUAGGUACGUG
This 491-nucleotide ribosomal RNA is filed under the name uncultured bacterium. RNAcentral's name for it is "partial 16S ribosomal RNA". It matches the Rfam family "Bacterial small subunit ribosomal RNA", at positions 28 to 507 of the family's 1533-position model. The record is from RNAcentral.